ACUGGAGAUGCCCUAGACUGUCUCUUCAAGUGGUGGGACAGAGUGUUCCUGGCUCUUCAAGUUGUUUUGGUGGAUGAGGAAGCCCUUCUCUGGGGCCUGCCUAGGGUUCUGAGUUGUAUGGGAACCACAGAAGGUUUUCUCACUUGGAUCUAUUAACUGCAGGACGGGUGACCUUCACAUGGCCACAGCCUGUCAUAACAAACUGGUCAAUGCACGUACUCAACGUCCAGACCACAGACCCUUGGUGGCCCUAAAAGGUCAGUUUUUUCCUGAGCUUGAUGCCUUUUGCCAUGUGGAUUAGUUGGGGCGCUGUCUGAGGGAGGCUGUCAGCGUGAUGGAAGUGGAUGGAGGCAAGACACGUGAGAGAAAGCAGCCAACGGGGGAACGUGGUCUCCCAAGACGGAGCAGUUUCAAAUGCCACCUGGCUUCUGAGGAUGGAGCAGUUAAGCAAAGGAAAGAACUAAAGCAUUGAGAUGGUGAGGAAAAAAGAAGAGAAAAAAAUUCAGGAUGUGUAAUAUGUGGUGCAACCCAUGGAUAGAUGGCCAUUGUUCUAGAAGGAAAUGUCAGUGAUGGGCCAAAGGGAAUAUUUCCUUUUGCCACCAGGGCUUUCUAAGCCUGAGCUCUGGGAAAGGUGAAGGGGGAACUUCUGGAGGUGAGUUUUCUACUGAAUACAGCCACUGUGUCAAA
Molecule: long non-coding RNA, 687 nt
Organism: Balaenoptera acutorostrata (minke whale)
Lineage: Eukaryota; Metazoa; Chordata; Mammalia; Artiodactyla; Balaenopteridae
Exons: 6
Source: RefSeq, a predicted model, not a curated record